UGACUGAGUGAUGAAAACAGGAUCCUUAGGCCUGGCGUGGCCGUCUUGGCCGCUGUGAGCCACUGGCCGAUGCUGGGACUCGUCAUAGUUACACUGACCGUUC
This is a small nucleolar RNA of Myotis lucifugus (little brown bat), 103 nucleotides long. Ensembl annotates it as small nucleolar RNA SNORD46. Lineage: Eukaryota; Metazoa; Chordata; Mammalia; Chiroptera; Vespertilionidae. The record is from Ensembl.